This 779-nucleotide ribosomal RNA is filed under the name Streptomyces sp. RNAcentral describes it as "bacterial SSU rRNA". It matches the Rfam family "Bacterial small subunit ribosomal RNA", at positions 66 to 860 of the family's 1533-position model. The record is from RNAcentral. Lineage: Bacteria; Bacillati; Actinomycetota; Actinomycetes; Kitasatosporales; Streptomycetaceae.
ACGAUGAAGCCCUUCGGGGUGGAUUAGUGGCGAACGGGUGAGUAACACGUGGGCAAUCUGCCCUUCACUCUGGGACAAGCCCUGGAAACGGGGUCUAAUACCGGAUACGACUGCGGAAGGCAUCUUCUGCGGUGGAAAGCUCCGGCGGUGAAGGAUGAGCCCGCGGCCUAUCAGCUUGUUGGUGGGGUAAUGGCCUACCAAGGCGACGACGGGUAGCCGGCCUGAGAGGGCGACCGGCCACACUGGGACUGAGACACGGCCCAGACUCCUACGGGAGGCAGCAGUGGGGAAUAUUGCACAAUGGGCGAAAGCCUGAUGCAGCGACGCCGCGUGAGGGAUGACGGCCUUCGGGUUGUAAACCUCUUUCAGCAGGGAAGAAGCGAAAGUGACGGUACCUGCAGAAGAAGCGCCGGCUAACUACGUGCCAGCAGCCGCGGUAAUACGUAGGGCGCAAGCGUUGUCCGGAAUUAUUGGGCGUAAAGAGCUCGUAGGCGGCUUGUCACGUCGGAUGUGAAAGCCCGAGGCUUAACCUCGGGUCUGCAUUCGAUACGGGCUAGCUAGAGUGUGGUAGGGGAGAUCGGAAUUCCUGGUGUAGCGGUGAAAUGCGCAGAUAUCAGGAGGAACACCGGUGGCGAAGGCGGAUCUCUGGGCCAUUACUGACGCUGAGGAGCGAAAGCGUGGGGAGCGAACAGGAUUAGAUACCCUGGUAGUCCACGCCGUAAACGUUGGGAACUAGGUGUUGGCGACAUUCCACGUCGUCGGUGCCGCAGCUAACGCAU